This 301-nucleotide ribosomal RNA is filed under the name uncultured bacterium. RNAcentral describes it as "partial 16S ribosomal RNA". It matches the Rfam family "Bacterial small subunit ribosomal RNA", at positions 509 to 807 of the family's 1533-position model. The record is from RNAcentral.
CAGUAGCCGCGGUAAUACGAAGGGGGCUAGCGUUGUUCGGAAUUACUGGGCGUAAAGGGCGCGUAGGCGGCCAUUCAAGUUAGAUGUGAAAGCCCUGGGCUCAACCUAGGAAUUGCAUUUGAUACUGCUUGGCUUGAGUUCGGGAGAGGUGAGUGGAAUUCCCAAUGUAGAGGUGAAAUUCGUAGAUAUUGGGAAGAACACCAGUGGCGAAGGCGGCUCACUGGACCGACACUGACGCUGAGGCGCGAAAGCGUGGGGAGCAAACAGGAUUAGAUACCCCCGUAGUCCCUGUCUCUUAUAC